This 410-nucleotide ribosomal RNA is filed under the name uncultured bacterium. RNAcentral describes it as "bacterial SSU rRNA". It matches the Rfam family "Bacterial small subunit ribosomal RNA", at positions 32 to 423 of the family's 1533-position model. The record is from RNAcentral.
AAUCAACGCUGGCGGCGUGCCUCAGACAUGCAAGUCGAACGCGAAAGUUUCCUUCGGGAGACAAGUAGAGUGGCGCACGGGUGAGUAACACGUAGGUAAUCUACCUUUGGAUGGGGAAUAACAACCGGAAACGGUUGCUAAUACCGCAUAAUGCAGCGGCACCUAAUGGUGACAGUUGUUAAAGCGGGGGAUCGAAAGACCUCGCGUCUGAAGAGGAGCCUGCGGCGGAUUAGCAGUUGGUAAGGUAAUGGCUCACCAAGGCUACGAUCCGUAACCGGCCUGAGAGGGCGGUCGGUCACACUGACACUGACAUACGGGUCAGACUCCUACGGAGGCAGCAGUCGGGAAUUUUGGGCAAUGGGCGAAAGCCUGACCCAGCAACGCCGCGUGAAGGAUGAAAUCCCUCGGGA